This 238-nucleotide ribosomal RNA is filed under the name uncultured bacterium. Its description in RNAcentral is "partial 16S ribosomal RNA". It matches the Rfam family "Bacterial small subunit ribosomal RNA", at positions 15 to 217 of the family's 1533-position model. The record is from RNAcentral.
GAUCAUGGCUCAGGAUGAACGCUGGCGGCAUGCCUAAGACAUGCAAGUCGAACGAGAUGGCCCAGUGAAGGUUGCGUGCUUGCACAAGACUGAAUCUGGAUCACCAUCUAGUGGCAGACGGGUGAGUAACACGUGGGUGACCUACCUUUUCGUUGGGGAUAACAGUUGGAAACGAUUGCUAAUACCGAAUAAAAUAUAAGAGCCAAUUUUAUAGUUGAAAGGAGCCUUUAAAGCUUCG